Molecule: ribosomal RNA, 700 nt
Filed under: Alexandrium tamarense
Lineage: Eukaryota; Dinophyceae; Gonyaulacales; Pyrocystaceae
Description: LSU rRNA
Rfam family: Eukaryotic large subunit ribosomal RNA
Source: RNAcentral
AUUCCGCUGAAUUUAAGCAUAUAAGUAAGUGGUGGAAAUUAAACCAACUGGGAUCUCCUCAGUAAUUGCGCAUGAACCAGGAUAUGCUUAGCUUGACAAAUGGAGCUGCUGGCUCUGAAUUGUAUUGUGGGAAUGUAUUACCAACAGAGGUGCAGGUGUCAGCCAUUUGAAAGAAAGCAUCAAUGAGGGUGAGAGUCCUGUUUGUCAUGUGCAGCCUUCUGUGCACGGUGUAUAUUUGCUGAGUCACACUCCUUGGCAUUGGAAUGCAAAGUGGGUGGUAAGUUUCAUGCAAAGGUAAAUAUGCAAUUGAGACUGAUAGCGCACAAGUACCAUGAGGGACAUAUGAAAAGGACUUUGAAAAGAGAAUUAAAUGAGUUUGUAUUUGCUAAACACAAAGUAAACAGACUUGAUUUCCUCAGUGAGAUUGUAGUGCUUGCUUAACAAUGGGUCUUGGCUGCAAGUGCAAUAAUUCUUGCUUUGUGUGCCAGUUUUUAUGUGGACAUUUGAUUACCUUUGCACAUGAAUGGUAAUUUUCCUGCGGGGUGUGGAUUGCAUAUGCAUGUAAUGAUUUGCAUGUUUGUUAAAUGUGUCUGGUGUUUUUGUUUGUGUCCUUGUCCUUGAGGUUGCUUUCUCCCUUGGGCUUACAUGCCCUGGCACACACAUUCUGGCAAAAUGCUUCUGCUUGACCCGUCUUGAAAAU